RNAcentral lists this ribosomal RNA (292 nucleotides) under uncultured bacterium. Its description in RNAcentral is "partial 16S ribosomal RNA". It matches the Rfam family "Bacterial small subunit ribosomal RNA", at positions 505 to 796 of the family's 1533-position model. The record is from RNAcentral.
GUGCCAGCAGCCGCGGUAAUACGGAGGGUGCAAGCGUUAUCCGGAUUCACUGGGUUUAAAGGGUGCGUAGGUGGGCAGGUAAGUCAGUGGUGAAAUCUUUGGGCUUAACCCAGAAACUGCCAUUGAUACUAUCUGUCUUGAAUACCGUGGAGGUCAGCGGAAUAUGUCAUGUAGCGGUGAAAUGCUUAGAUAUGACAUAGAACACCAAUUGCGAAGGCAGCUGGCUACACGAAUAUUGACACUGAUGCACGAAAGCGUGGGGAUCAAACAGGAUUAGAAACCCUCGUAGUCC